UGCUUUUCCUCCACUCGUCUCUCCUCCCCCUUUCACACAUCCUCAACUCUUUUCCCACAGGCACAAGUCACCAGUGGAGAAAGCCAGGAACAAGGUUCCUCCAGGUCCAUGCGGUCUAUGAAGACAAACACAAUGGAGUGAGAGAGAAAGGAAGAGAGGAUGAGUAUACAGUGACACAUUUCUAAUCCCCAAUCAGUCCUGCCCUGUUGCUUCUAGGUCCCAAACUGUCCCAUCAGUCUUUCUCCUGUUGUUCCUGAGCCCUACCAGGAUAUCUCUCCUGCUCUGAGCCCUAUGCCUUCUCCUGUUCAGCAAGGGGCUUUCUCUGGUAAAUCCAUCCAGCCAGAUCACUAUCUCAACACCAGUAUUUAGGGGCUCCUCAGCUCCCUCUAGCUCUUCUCCCUUUUUAUGUCCUAUGUUCGAGGCUGCUAGGAAGUUUUACAGGAUCUAAGUCUGUGUCUGGGGCCAAGGACAACAAUUUCAAAAGAAGAGACCACCAAGACCUCCCACCUGGCCAGAGAUCAGGUGUGGAAUAUGGUGGGAAAGGAGCCUGAGCAGACGCCAGGGGGCGCCUCCGCACCUCCACAGAUGAGGCAGAUUGCGCUAAGCAGUCCUGUCUCGGUGUCAUCCAUCUCCAGUGGCAGGAGCUGCCCAGCAAAGGCAAAGACGAGGUCUGUGAGGGGCCCAAAGCCAGCGUUGUGCAUUUGGGUCCGGUUCAGGGUCAGCCCAUCAGAGAAGGUCAUGGUGUCCUGCUCCGGGGUGUACCUUGUGCAGAUUCGUAGCAUCUGCAGGUGGGGGCAGAAGGAGAGUUAGUGCUGUAGCAAAAGUGGAUGGGUGGGGGCGGGGGGUUCAUACAGGACAGGGAAAGAGGGAAUGAAUGGAAAAUGAAGAAGUUAGAUCCUCAACAAAUGCAACCUGAAACAGGCAUGGGAAGGAAAGCAGAGAGGAGGAGGAUCUGAGGGAGCCCCCCAGAAGGCAGGAGAAGGCAGAGCAUCCAGAAAUCUAGGAAUAGGUCCUAGGGGCAGGGCCUAAGACAAAAAGAGCUUGGGUUGCCAGGUAUGGUGACACAUGUCUUUAAUUCCAGGGAAUCAGGAUACUGAGGCAGGGGGAUCACAAGUUCAAGGCCAACAAGGCAAUGUGACAAGAUCGUAUCUCAAAAUAAAAAUCUACUACUAUAGUUCAGUAGUAGAUUGCUUAUGUAGCAUGUGCAAGGCCCCAAGUCAAGUAAAGGAAAGCGUGAGCUUGGGUAGAGGAGAUGUGGGGAGUCCCAAAUGGUUUGGGGGGAGAUAAAGUAAUCUUUUUGAAGCAAGGAAUCAUUGAAAGUUACAUAUAAGGGUCAGGCUAAGGCAAGAACCAUAGGCCUAAAUUACCAGGAUGUCCAGGCAGGCAGCCUUGAGCAGAGUGAUCUGGUCAGCAAUGCUGAGCCCUGUAAAGCCAGGCAACCUCUUGGCAAACUCCACUAUCUUAAUGAUGCACUUGGUGGCCAGCUCACUGAACUUGUCCCACAGCCCCAGAUCCAGCUGCACCCGGUGGUCUGCACUGGAGUUCUGCAUGGGAAGAGAAGGUUAGGAUGCAAAGGCCACCCUGAAAGUUUCCUUCUCUCUGCCAAUACCCCAAGCUCUCUCCUCUGCAUGCUGUAGCCCUCCUUGUCCCUAGUACCAGACCAUGGCCUCCUACACAUCCCUUAACCAUUCCCAAAAGGCACAGUCCCUGCCCUCAUUGGGGCUCUGCUCAUUCCUCACCGUGGUGUACUUGCCCAGCUGGCAGAGUGAGGGGAAGGUCUCCUGAUGGGCUUUGCUGACCUUGGUGAUGAGCUCUUCUAACUGGGGGCUCAGCUCAUAGCUGUCAGGAGACCCUUCUUCCUUGACCUCUUUCUUUUUCUUGUUCCGGUCAUUCCGCACAGCUUAGGGGUGGAGGCACAAGGAGAGGGUCAGAACCAUCAGGGACUCCUUUUAGAUGUCCUCCCUCACCCUAACUUAAUGUACUCAGUCCCUACCAUGAAUAGCUAUUCCCUGGCACCCUAAUUAGUGCCUCAGUUGCCCUAUCUCAUAUGUUAGUUCCUAUUCCCAGGCUGGCUCUCCCCAGCCCCACCCAGGGCCUGCAGCCCCUGCUCUCUCUCCAGGCCAUUCGGCUCCAUCCUGCCCUUCCUGUCACCCUGCAGGAGCUGGGGAGGGGGGGCAGGAUAUGCAGGCGGCAGGAUAUCCACUUAUAGCCUUGGCAGCACAAUGGGGGGGGAUGGAAAGGAGGGGCCACCUCAGAUCCAUCUCAGGUUCAGUCCUGGGAACAGCAGAAAAGAGUGAACCAUCAGAGGGAAGCCCACUCCCCUGCCCCAAGAAGCAGGGAGAAUGUGAAACCCUAAUACCCAUUGACUAAUUCAAAGGAAGGGUUAAGAAGAGAGGAGAAUGGGAAAGGGUAGAACCUCUUGUAAAUGGAGCUAAUCAAAUAGGACUGGUCUGAGAGGAGACAAAGAGGUCAGGGAAGUGGGGGUGGCCAGAGGGAAGACAAGAAACCAGAGGGCAGGACAGGACUGCUUCUGUCCAGACCAGUGAGUGAUAGGAGCCUACCUUCCUUGGACAUGCCCACUUCAAAGCACUUUUGUAGCCUACAGUACUGGCAGCGAUUCCUGGUCACCUUGUUGAUAAUACAGUUUUUGUCACGGUGACAUGUAUACACCAUGUUCUUCUGGAUGCUGCGUCGAAAGAAGCCCUGGAGUUGGGGGGAAAGAAGAUUGUCAAUGAAGCAGGGUGCUGGGAAUACCCCAGGCCUGCCCCAAUCUAUUAACCACCUAUAUGCAAAAUAGCCCCUCUCCCAACACACGCUUACUCACAUACAGCACUUGGGUCCCAGGUAACUAGGGAUCCCCAAUCAGCUCACCCCAUAUGUACACACCUUGCAGCCUUCACAUGAGCUGACCCCAUAGUGGUAGCCAGAGGACUUGUCAUUGCACACGAAGCAGGGCUUGUAGACCCGAGGAGGUGGUGGGGGUGAGGGCGAGCUGGGCACCAUCUCCUCUGAGCUAGUGCUCUGUGUCUCCACCGCUGUGGGGGCAGUGAUGUGAGGGGUCAGGGGAGGCCCCCCAGACCUCCAAGCCUCCCUAUCACCACCACCCCCAUGCCCACUCCUCCUUCUGGCCCACUGGUGAUAGCCAUCACCAACCCAUCCCUGCACAACUCCUCCACAAUAAUGCCAGCCCUAGCCCUACAUGAUGCUGUUCAAUUCUCCAAAUUGUGGGGAGCCAUUCUCACACGUGACUGGGCAACUCCCGGUUUGGGUCUGAGGCACUCUGGCUAAACUGUGUCGGAGCUUUCCCAACCCGUGUGGGGGUGUGACUUGACCACUGACCCUGGGGCCAAUCACUGACCCUGACCUUGGAGUGCAGCCCCCCCUCAACCUUCAUUGGAUGGAAUUCUCCCCUGAAUUUCUUGUUCCCCAAUAAAAGGCUACUCCCUGG
Marmota monax (woodchuck) is the source of this 3448-nucleotide long non-coding RNA. RefSeq lists it as uncharacterized. Lineage: Eukaryota; Metazoa; Chordata; Mammalia; Rodentia; Sciuridae. The record is from RefSeq and is a predicted model, not a curated record. The transcript is spliced from 2 exons.